This 45-nucleotide non-coding RNA is filed under the name Schistosoma mattheei. The record is from RNAcentral. Lineage: Eukaryota; Metazoa; Platyhelminthes; Trematoda; Strigeidida; Schistosomatidae.
AUCCAGCUGAUGUAUCUUAAAUAGGACGAAAUGUAAGUCCUGGAU